CCAUACAAAUCAAUCAGAGUAUUGUAGGUGGCGGUCAUUCGAGGUUUCUUACAAGUGUUCUCAACUUCUGAAAGACUUAAAAAUCUAGAAGGAUUCCUCCCUCCAGUCCUGAAAAGCUCGGUCAACAAAAACUGCUUCAAACUGAAAGGUUCAGAAUCGUCCGUAGAAUCCAACUCAAGAUUAUCCAAUUCAAUCUUUCCAAUGCACCAAUCCUUAUAGAACCUAUCUGCUCUAUCAUAUUCUCCUGCAUCCUUCAAAACCAAAAGGUUCAGAGUCGUCCAUAGAAUCCAACUCAAGAUCAUCCAGUUCAAUCUUUCCAACACACCAAUCCUUAUAGAACCUACCUGCUCUAUCAUAUUCUCCUGCAUCCUUCAAAACCUUAACAACCGUAUUCAUUGUAACC
This 403-nucleotide long non-coding RNA is filed under the name Nicotiana benthamiana. RNAcentral's name for it is "long non-coding RNA (NBEN_LNC038935)". Lineage: Eukaryota; Viridiplantae; Streptophyta; Magnoliopsida; Solanales; Solanaceae. The record is from RNAcentral.